CCGCCCGUCACACCAUGGAAGUGUAUUGCACCAGAAGCAGGUAGCCUGACCGCAAGGAGGGCGCCUACCACGGUGAGGUCCAUGACUGGGGUG
RNAcentral lists this ribosomal RNA (93 nucleotides) under uncultured bacterium. RNAcentral's name for it is "partial 16S ribosomal RNA". It matches the Rfam family "Bacterial small subunit ribosomal RNA", at positions 1390 to 1482 of the family's 1533-position model. The record is from RNAcentral.